AGAGUUUGAUCAUGGCUCAGGACGAACGCUGGCGGCGCGCCUCAUACAUGCAAGUCGAGCGAGAACCAGGGCUUGCCCUGGGGACAGCGGCGAACGGGUGCGUAACACGUGAGCAACCUGCCCCGAAGACCGGGACAAGCCGGGGAAACCUGGUCUAAUACCGGAUGUCCUCGGCGGACUGCAUGGUCCGGCGAGGAAAUGGAUUCCGCUUCGGGAUGGGCUCGCGGCCUAUCAGCUUGUUGGUGGGGUAACGGCUCACCAAGGCGACGACGGGUAGCUGGUCUGAGAGGACGAUCAGCCACACUGGGACUGAGACACGGCCCAGACUCCUACGGGAGGCAGCAGUAGGGAAUCUUGCGCAAUGGGCGAAAGCCUGACGCAGCGACGCCGCGUGCGGGAUGAAGGCCUUCGGGUCGUAAACCGCUUUCAGCAGGGACGAAAUUGACGGUACCUGCAGAAGAAGGCCCGGCCAACUACGUGCCAGCAGCCGCGGUGAUACGUAGGGGUCUAGCGUUGUCCGGAAUCAUUGGGCGUAAAGAGCUCGUAGGCGGUUCGGCAAGUCGGAUGUGAAAUCUCCACGCUCAACGUGGAGGGGCCAUUCGAAACUGCCGUGACUCGAGUCCGGUAGGGGAGUGCGGAAUUCCCGGUGUAGCGGUGAAAUGCGCAGAUAUCGGGAGGAACACCAGUGGCGAAGGCGGCACUCUGGGCCGGAACUGACGCUGAGGAGCGAAAGCGUGGGGAGCGAACAGGAUUAGAUACCCUAGUAGUCC
Molecule: ribosomal RNA, 770 nt
Filed under: uncultured bacterium
Lineage: Bacteria
Description: bacterial SSU rRNA
Rfam family: Bacterial small subunit ribosomal RNA
Source: RNAcentral